AUGACGGUGUGCUCGGAGCCGUCCUUUAAGGUGGAACGCAAUCGCCGCUGCUGUCCAGCCCUCAAGGAAGACCCUAUGCUGCCGCCAGACCUUGUGGUUCUGGAGCCCCACGCUGGUGCGCAAGCAGGACAAGCGUGCCAUAAGCAUCAAGGGAUUUGGGGGACUUGGGGAACUUAUCUGCAGGUCAUGACACCCUCUCCUCUGGAUGUUGGUGUCAAAUCCUCCUCCAAGGUAACCAGACAAUCACAUUCAUACAGCUUUGCAAAACUUGUGUUUCUCAUUGUCUUUCACUCACGCCUGUACAAUAUUUCAUUUUGUUUUGUUCUGUUUUGA
This 333-nucleotide ribosomal RNA is filed under the name Triticum aestivum (bread wheat). RNAcentral describes it as "partial small subunit ribosomal RNA". The record is from RNAcentral. Lineage: Eukaryota; Viridiplantae; Streptophyta; Magnoliopsida; Poales; Poaceae.